UACGUAGGUGGCAAGCGUUGUCCGGAAUUAUUGGGCGUAAAGCGCGCGUAGGCGGUUUUCCAAGUUGGAGGUGAAAUCCCGGGGCUUAACUCCGGAACUGCCUUCAAAACUGGAUGACUAGAGUUCGAGAGAGGCAAGGGGAAUUCCUAGUGUAGAGGUGAAAUUCGUAGAUAUUAGGAAGAACACCAGUGGCGAAGGCGCCUUACUGGCUCGAUACUGACGCUGAGGUGCGAAAGUGUGGGGAGCAAACAGG
RNAcentral lists this ribosomal RNA (253 nucleotides) under uncultured bacterium. RNAcentral's name for it is "partial 16S ribosomal RNA". It matches the Rfam family "Bacterial small subunit ribosomal RNA", at positions 524 to 776 of the family's 1533-position model. The record is from RNAcentral.